Molecule: small RNA, 3583 nt
Filed under: Pan troglodytes (chimpanzee)
Lineage: Eukaryota; Metazoa; Chordata; Mammalia; Primates; Hominidae
Description: processed transcript
Source: RNAcentral
AUUUCCAGCAACUGGGAGGUUUUCCUUGAAGUUCUUGAUGGCUGCUUCAGGUCUAAUUCAACCAUAAAUUUAAAUGGUUGAAAUUCUGAUUAAUUGACAAGUUAAGUUGAGAGGGGUAGAGAAGAUGAAGUCCAUGUCACAGCUUGCAGUUUUGUCAAGACGGUGGAAGCCUUCAGAGAUGAAGUUGGAUCCCUUCCAGGAGGUUGUAUUGGAAAGCAGUAGUGUGGACGAAUUGCGAGAGAAGCUUAGUGAAAUCAGUGGGAUUCCUUUGGAUGAUAUUGAAUUUGCUAAGGGUAGAGGAACAUUUCCCUGUGAUAUUUCUGUCCUUGAUAUUCAUCAAGAUUUAGACUGGAAUCCUAAAGUUUCUACCCUGAAUGUCUGGCCUCUUUAUAUCUGUGAUGAUGGUGCGGUCAUAUUUUAUAGGGAUAAAACAGAAGAAUUAAUGGAAUUGACAGAUGAGCAAAGAAAUGAACUGAUGAAAAAAGAAAGCAGUCGACUCCAGAAGACUGGACAUCGUGUAACAUACUCACCUCGUAAAGAGAAAGCACUAAAAAUAUAUCUGGAUGGAGCACCAAAUAAAGAUCUCACUCAAGACUGACUCUGAUAGUGUAGCAUUUUCCCUGGGGGAGUUUGGUUUUAAUUAGAUGGUUCACUACCACUGGGUAGUGCCAUUUUGGCCGGACAUGGUUGGGGUAACCCAGUGACACCAGCACUGAUUGGACUGCCCUACACCAAUCAGAAGCUCAGUGCCCAAUGGGCCACUGUUUUGACUCGGAAUCAUGUUGUGCACUAUAGUCAAAUGUACUGUAAAGUGAAAAGGGAUGUGCAAAAAAAUAAAAAAAAAAAACAAAAAAAGCUAACCUUCUAUUAGAAAAGGGGACAGGGGAAUGAGUAAACUUCUUUUAUUGCAGACAAAUGUGCACAUAGCCGCUAGUAAAACUAGCCUCAAACAGGAUGCUCAUAGCUUAAUAAUAAAAGCUGUGCAAAGGCCAUGAAUGAAUGAAUUUUCUGUUUAUUUCACUGAUACACACAUUACCUCAUUGACAAUUCAGAAGUAAAUCCAACGUGUGUUGACUCUUGGAAAGCAGCAAAAACAGGAGCUGAAGAAAAGAAAUUCUUAGAACCAGCCAUAACCCAGUAAGGAAUUGUGAAGUUGUGUUUUUAUUUUGUUUCAUUUUUUGCAGAGUAUUAAGAACAUUAUUCUGGAACAUCAGAACGUUUCCCUUAGACCGAUCCCAGCAGGUGGCAGCUCAGAUUGCUGCAGUGUUGUAAUUAUAACUGAUUGUACUUAAGUUAUGGAUGUAGAGAAUAUGUUUCAUUCAUUUAUUCAGCAUGUAAAUAAAAUUGAUCCUGUUGAGUUAUCAUAAUUGCAGUUCAACUAUCUGCCAUGAUUAUUCUUUUCACGUAUCAUUCAUUCUGUACAUUUGUGUACAUUGAGAAGUAUAGCAAUCUAUGUAAAUGUAAUCCUCAGUGAGGUUCCUCAGUGCUAGGUCCCAUAGGAUUGUCGUUGCCCUUGUUAAUGAGGUUUCUCUGUUCAGCGGCUUCAAUUUUUUUCUCUUUGUACAUCUAGUUUUGAAGAUUUACUUCAAGUUUGAAUCUUCUAGAAUGCUUGUAAGUCCAGUUUUAAUUUUUAGAGUCAAUUUGUAGUUACAUGUAGUUUAACUUUUGGGAAACGUCGUAACAUUGUUCAGAAUAAACUUGCUAAUGAGGUCAGGUCAUGGUACAGACUGAUGCAGUCAACAUGAUUUCAUUGCAGAGUUUAUUAGUAUCAGCAAGUUUUUGCUUUGCUAAAUAAAAGUACUCAAUGCACACAAUUCUACAUAAAUUUUGACAUACCAUCUAAUUUAUAAAAAUCAAUAAAAAAGGUUUUGGUAAAACUUUUUCAUGCCAGAUGCUGUUUACAACAAUGAACAUGCCAAUAAAACAUUUGUUCAUUCUGUUGUGUUAUUUUAGUCAUUAAACUUCUGUGGAUGAAGAAUCUGGGUUAAGAAUAGAUUUGUCAUCUUUAAAUAUGACAUUUUGUAAUGUGUAUUGGAUAUCUCAUUUCUAUGAUAAAGGUAUAUUUACAGUAAAGUUCUCAUAAGAGAAAUGAAAAGCUGUGUUAAUAUCUAACUUUGGGGAACCCUGUCAGUAUUUCAGAUCCGAUUUUUACCCUUUUUUUCUUAUAAGUAAGAAAGAUAAAAUUAGAAAAUACUGUUAGCAAAUGUGGCUCUGCCAUUUGAAUAUAAUCACCGAGAAUUCCAUAAUGUCUUAAAAGUCUCCUGGAAUCCACAAUGAAAAAAAAAAUCUUUUCUAAGGUAUUUUUCUGGCUAAUUUUUAUUUGAAGAAAGCUAUAGCAUUUAGCGAAAUUUGACUGAAGUAAUGUUCUGAGUUUGCAUUAGUGGGAUUGGUGAUGUUCUCAGAAGAAAAUUGGAAACACUUGUGAUGAAUUGUCUUUCAGAUCACUUAGAUUUUCUGAUGUAAGAGGACAGCUAUUUGGUUCUGAUACAGGCCUGCUUACUUGGGAUGUAGGGUUAGUAAAUGGGGUUUCUGCUUUAAAGGACUGACUUGCUAUCGCACAAGAGAGGCAGACUUGUAAACAAAAUGGGCUUUGGAGUUUGGUCUGAUUGGGUUUGGUUUAGUAUUCCUAUGAGCGUAAACGGCAAAAUUCUUCUGAUACCCACUCUUCAGACUGUGCCUUCUGCUCUGUUAUGUGUUUUAUGUUUAACUGCUGUUUCUAAUUGCAGGUGUAUUACAGAUACAAAUAAGAGUAAAGAAAAUAUAUUUCAUUAUAGAAAAGAAAAAAUUAAAAGCUUCUUGCUUUUCAGUGCCUGAUAGAGUGAAAACACAAAGUUGCACUUUAAUAAUUUCAAUAAAAGCUAAUCUGUGUCAGCCUCCCUCUGCUUCAGAGAGUCAGGUGAGCAUCCAUAACCUAACAGGCAGAGCCCUAGCGAUGUGGAUCAAGUUUCCUGAGCCCGGGGGCGGUGGAGCCUCAUGAUCUCUUAUCUUUUGAGGCUGAGGCAGGUCACAUGCAACACAUUGUGACCCUGCUCCCCACAAGUCAUGCAAAGGUUUUGAAGAGCUUUUACCGUGGGGCAGAUGAACUUGUGCCAACCAUGCACACCCUGUGAGAACCAAGUACCUGUGUUUCUAAGGCGGGCACUCAAGGUGAGAGGUGCAUUCUGGCCAAAGAAACAAAAGCUGUGGUUUCAGGACCAUGCCGUGUGUAGCUGGUCUGUACGGGACGUGUAUGUAAGGAAGAGCAAUCAUGAUAGAUAAGAACAGUGUGUGAAGCAGCCCUCACACUAGAGUGUUUGGUCAUCUCUUAUAAUGUAAGGGAAGGUACUUUAAAAUUCUGGGAAGAUGCGAUGAACUCAUGUCCCAGUCAGAAAAUAAUCCAAUGAAAUAAGCAUUGGUUGCCAGGCCACAGUUAGGAAUUGUAUUGUGAUACAUCUAGAGGCCAAGAGAGCAGGAGAGAGCUACCAACUUACACUGUGGUUUAAGCUAAAUGACCGCACAGCAUCAUAGCAUUGCAGUGUUGUUACUAAAUCUGGAAGUGACCUGUGAAUGUAUGGAAUACAAUAAAGUCUUUUAUUCUGGUUCA